GAGGAAAAGAAACUAACAAGGAUUCCCCUAGUAACGGCGAGUGAAGCGGGAACAGCUCAACUUUUAAAAUCUGGCCCUUUCAGGGUCCGAGUUGUAGUCUCGAGAAGCCACGUCCGUGCCGGACCUUGGACAAGUCGGUUGGAAUACCGCGCCAACGAGGGUGACAGCCCCUUUAUUGCCAAGGACGCCCGUGCGCAGUGUGAUGGGCUUUCAAAGAGUCGAGUUGUUUGGGAAUGCAGCUCUAAUCGGGUGGUAAAUUCCAUCUAAAGCUAAAUAUUGGCGAGAGACCGAUAGCGAACAAGUACCGUGAGGGAAAGAUGAAAAGCACUUUGGAAAGAGAAUGAAACAGUAUGUGAAAUUGCUGGAAGGGAAACGAUUGAGGUUAGACUUGCUGGCGCGGUACUCAGCCCUUUGAUGGGUGUAUUUGCCGCGCAUUUGGCAGGCCAGCAUCGGUUUGUUGUGUCGGGUAAAAGGGUGCAGGGAACGUAGCAACCUCGUCGUUGUGUUAUAGACCUGCACUGGAUGCCCGAUCGCAGACCGAGGUCAGCAGGGCGCCGCAAGGCAAUGCUCUCGUGGCAUCGAGCCCUUUGGAUGCUGGUAGAAUAGCCUUAACCGACCCGUCUUGAAACACG
This 632-nucleotide ribosomal RNA is filed under the name Kurtzmanomyces sp. MG21. RNAcentral's name for it is "LSU rRNA". It matches the Rfam family "Eukaryotic large subunit ribosomal RNA", at positions 53 to 663 of the family's 3401-position model. Lineage: Eukaryota; Fungi; Basidiomycota; Agaricostilbomycetes; Agaricostilbales; Chionosphaeraceae. The record is from RNAcentral.